RNAcentral lists this ribosomal RNA (2194 nucleotides) under Broeckina sp. 835. RNAcentral's name for it is "SSU rRNA". It matches the Rfam family "Eukaryotic small subunit ribosomal RNA". Lineage: Eukaryota; Foraminifera; Miliolida; Soritidae. The record is from RNAcentral.
UACUAAUGCAACUGCGAAUAGCUGUUUAAUACAGUCGUAAUUGUAUUGACUUAGCAUAGUUAUAGAGAUAUAGUUUAGUUUUGGAUAACUAAGGGAAAGUUUGGCUAAUACGUUUUUAAAAUGUUAUUAAUACACAUUUAUGCAUAUAAUAAUAUUAAUUGCAACAUGAUAGAUAUUAUAUAAAUAUUUUAUUCAUUUAUUUGAAUAUAAUAUAGAGCAGACUUUAUAUUUAUUUUAAUAUAAAGCAUGUCAAACAAACAUCUAUAGCAUCAAGUCACAAUGUUGGCAUGUGUAUUAUUGAACCUUCAAAGCAUUUACGCAUUCGGAGGAGUAGUUUCUGAUCCCGUCGAAGGUGCCUGAGAGACGGCACUUAGUUCUAAGGAACGCAGCAGGCGCGUAAAUUGCCCAAUGACAAAACAUGUAUAUAUUGAGGCAGUGACAAGCUGUAAAGAUUUAAUAUAUUAAUUAAGAUAACAUUUGGAAUUGUCCCUUAAUAAUAUUUAUAUUAUUUUGGUUGAUAAUAUACCAAUGUUAUAAAAUAUUAAAUUUGAAUGCGGUGAAUAUAAUAAUUUCAAGUAACAUGUAUAAAAUAUUAAUAUUUUAUAUGUUAUCUGAAUUUUCAAGUGGAGGGCAAGUCUGGUGCCAGCAGCCGCGGUAAUACCAGCUCCACUAGCUUAUACAAUCAUUGUUGCGGUUAAGAGGCUCGUAGUUGGAUUGAAAAUAAAAUAUAUAAUAAUAUCAAUACUGUGAACAAACCAGAGUGUAUAAAACAUGUAAUAUUAAUUAUUAGCAAUGAAUGUUUUAUCAUGGGAUAUUGCUUAUAUAUUUCGAUGGAGAUAGUUGGAGUUAAGAGUACUGAUAGGCGAGCGGUGAAAUGCAUUGACCCUAUUAAGACUAACAAAAGCGAAAGCACUUAACUAGAUUAUUCUCUUUGUACUAUUACAAUGAAGAGCGAAGGUUGGGGGAACAAAGAGGAUCAGAUACCCUCGUAGUCCUAUUUUUACAUCAAACUAUGGGAUUUCAAUUGAAUAUAUAUAAUAUUCAUUCUCAACUAAUAAUUAAUAUGAUUGAGUUAUAUUAUUACUCUCAUAUAAAUAAAUGUUGUUUUUGUUAAUAAAACAUGUAUUGAUUAUAUGUACUUUGCGCUCAUAUAAUUAUAUAGGUGAGAUGUAAGCAUUAUUGAUGAUUAAUAUACUACAUAUAUAAUAUGUAAGUAUUAUUAUAAUUCAAAUAUAAAAAUGUAAUGUGAUGCACGUUUUAGGUACGAGCUUACUAUAGAAAUAUUUAAAAUAAUACCCUCCUGGGGUAGUAUGCACGCAAGUGUGAAACUUGAAGGNNNNNNNNNAAGGGCACCACAAGAACGCGUGGAGCAUGUGGCUUAAUUUGACUCAACGCGGGAAAUCUUACCAGGUCCAGACAUAUUGAGGAUUGACUGGCGAUAGUUUAUUAUUCUUUAGUUAAUAAUAAGCAUAAAAAUGAUAGUCCUUUCAUGAUUAUAUGAUAGGUGGUGCAUGGCCGUUCUUAGUUCGUGGAGUGAUUUGUCUGCUUAAUUGCGUUUCAGUAAAUAAAAUAUAUAAUAUACAUUAAUAUUUAGUUCUGCCUUAAUUUAUAUUUCGGAUUUAAAGUGAACAUAUUAUUGUUAUUAAUAUAUAAUAAAUGAAUGCAACGAACGUGACCGUAACCUUUUAUUGCUAUAAAUAAUAUUUAAUUAUAUAUAUAGCAUAAAAUUAAAGGAACCGCUGUCAUUAUUAUAUGUGUUAAAAUAGAGUAAGAAUACGGCAAUAACAGGUCUGUGAUGCCCUCAGAUGUUCUGGGCUGCACACGUGCUACAAUAAUUACAUUAAUAAGUAUAUAAAAUAAUAUUUUAAUAUAUUAAUAAACCUAUUUCGAAAGUAAAUGGGUAAUCAUUUAAAAAUCGUAACAUUUUAAAAAUAUAUAAAUUAUUUUAUUGUGGGGAUAGUGUAUUGUUAAUUAUUACACUUGGCCUUAACUAGGAAUGCCUUGUACUCUUCUUUGGUUUAACAUACCAAGAGGAAUACGUCCCUGCCCUUUGUACACACCGCCCGUCGCUCUUACCGAUGAAUUAUAUUAUAAAUCUAAGGGAAUUAUAUAUUUUAUUAUUUAUGACAAACUUAUAUACAUAAUAUGAUUUAAAGGAAAGAGAAGUCGUAACAAGGCAUCAGUAGGUGAACCU